AAGUCGUAACAAGGUUUCCGUAGGUGAACCUGCGGAAGGAUCAUUCUUGAUAAUGUGUAGCUUAUGCUAUCACUAAAUAUGUGCACUGUUACCUGCCAUUUGGCGGCCGAAAGGUCGUCGCUGGCGCUGUUUUUAAUAUACCUAGCAACUUUUUGUACCAGUAAUCAUAAAAUCUUAUGACAACUUUUAGCAAUGGAUCUCUAGGCUCUC
RNAcentral lists this unclassified non-coding RNA (210 nucleotides) under fungal sp. RNAcentral describes it as "partial internal transcribed spacer region". The stretch from base 1 to 46 matches the Rfam family "Eukaryotic small subunit ribosomal RNA", at positions 1786 to 1831 of the family's 1831-position model. Lineage: Eukaryota; Fungi. The record is from RNAcentral. RNAcentral also lists the same sequence under 1 other name.